AAAUAGUGAGUCCGCGGUAAGUGAAUUACAAAGUAAUGAGGGUACACUUUAUAUCUGUUUUAUUGACUAUUCUAAAGUCUUUGACUGUGUGGAUCAAAAUAAAUUCUGGCAAGUCCUUCGUGGUAUGGGAAUAUCAAGUCACCUUGUCUGUCUCCAGAAGAAUCUGUAUAACAACCAAGUAGCAACAAUAAGAACAGGCCACGGAUCAACAGACAGGUUCAAGAUUGGGAAAGGAGUACAGCAGGGCUGUAUACUCUCAGCUGACCUAUUCAACUUGUAUGCAGAACCCAUCAUGCGACAUGAGGGGCUUGAUGAAUCCAAGGCGGGAGUUAAAAUUGCUGAAAGAAAUAUUAACAAACUUAGAUAUGCAGAUGAUGCCACUUUGAUGGCUGAAAGCGAGGAGGAGCUAAGGAGCUUUAUAACAAAGGUGAAAGAAAAAAGUGCAAAAGCUGGGUUGUAGUUAAACAUGAAAAAAAAAACCCAAGAUUAUGGCAACCAGACUGAUUGAUAACUGGAAAAUAGAGGGAGAAAACCUGGAGGCAGUGACAAACUUUGUAUUUCUAGGUGCAAAGAUUACUGCAGAUGCCAGACUGCAGGCAAGAAAUUUACUUCUUGGGAGGAGAACAAUGUUCUUGGGAGGAGAACAAUGACCAAUCUUGAUAAAAUAGUGAAGAGUAGACAUCACACUGGCAACGAAGAACCCUGAUCUGCAGACAAUCCUGCUCUUGAACAGCACAAAUAAAGAUGGGUGCAACAAAGGACAACAGACGCUUCUAGGAAGCUCAAGCGGAAGGAAAAGAGAACAGGAACCCAGUAAAAGGAAAAGUAAAGUGUAUGUUUUUUUCACAGGUAUGCAGGAUAGUAGAAACCAAAAGUCGUACUGACCAUUCCCCUUUCACAUAAAAGUUUAACAGUAAUUGGUCAUGUGAUGGAGGAACGUCGAUUAACAACUACAUUUCAAGCUUAAAAUAAAGAAGCUUAUUGCAUACCUCAACGAGCAUGGAAAGAAUAUACAGGCAGUCCCCAAGUUAUG
Long non-coding RNA from Anolis sagrei ordinatus, 1033 nucleotides. RefSeq lists it as uncharacterized. The record is from RefSeq and is a predicted model, not a curated record. NCBI's taxonomy places the organism in Eukaryota, Metazoa, Chordata, Lepidosauria, Squamata, Anolidae.